UUGUGAAAGGUUCAGGAGCUUCACCCCACCAUCCCUCUCUCAGGAUUCUGAAAUUUUUAAAUAGCUGGCGAGGUCAAGGCUACUAAUUCUGAUGAAAAGUGAAGGAAUCUACUGUAUACAACUGAAGCUUGAUAGGACACUUUAACAUAAUAUGUCAUUACUGAAAUGUGGCCAUGACAAAGAUGCUAACACAGCUUCCUUUUGUCAUCUGGUCUUAGAUUUAAAACCUUGAUUUAAUGAAAGUGUUGAUACCACACUGAAGAAAAAAAGACUGAUUUUUUGGGGUCAUUAAAUAUGAGCCACUUGAAUAAAGGAAGGAUGGUCUUGGAUAGGUAAGGUAAAGGGUAUAGUUUAUAUUAGCAUGGGACAAAAGGAGAAACUACAGAAACCUACAAGAAUCCCAGUGAGAUACAUUUUUCCUCUGGAUAGAAACCAAUAGCAAAAGUAAGGCAAGGGUUAAAUAAUUAACUCUCUAUUUUCUUUCUUUUAACACACUUUCUCUUUUGUGUCAGACACUGAAAAGCAUGGCCUCAAACUUUGAACACUUUGAAAUUUCCUCUCUUUUUUUCCCUAAAGAUUUCACAUUUUCCACAAUUGUGUUGCACUGAUAACUAUCACUCCCUUCCCUCCACUGAUAAUCCCAGUUUUAUGUAACUUAUAAAAGGCAGUCUGACCCCGAGACUUCAUAGCAGGUAGCAGAUGGCUUUGGUGGAUGCCUAUGUCUGCUAUUAAAGUAAAAAGACAGGAAGCAGCACAGACAGUGUUCUUUUAUUUAAAAAAAAAUUUGGGUUGUCAUGUGAUAUGAAACACAAAUCUAAGAGCUUUCAGCAAUCACAAACCUCAUGUAGUGUGAUUUUCACUAGAAGGUCAAUGUAAUACCACCUUCAAGUCUGCGUGAAAGAUGCAUUGCAUGAAAGAAAAGAUGGUGUUUUCUGGUCUACUACUUAUACAUGUAACAAUUUAUUAUACAAAAAUCAGAGUACAAUUCAGACAACUUGUGAAUGCUUAUUGAAGUUGCCAGGCAAAAAUAUGCUAUUCCAUGCCAUAUUAGCAUUUUCUGGUUUAGGCCAGCUGAUCUAUUUGAAUUAGGUUACAUAAACCAUCACAUUCAAUAUGUAAGUUGAACAUGUAUAUUCAAAUAUUUUUCCUUUUAAAAUGGAACUGUGACUCAUAUUAUACAGAACUUACUCUGAAUAAAGUAAAACUAGACAGAUUGCAGUGCUUUCCCCCAGUCAGCUAAGAAUUCUAAGAGCCCACAGACAUAACAGUGAGAGUUUCAGGUUUGUUUUCAAUAGUCAGAUGUGUUGCUUAUUCCACUUUUAAAAAGUUCAUAGAACUCAUUAAUACUUUUAUAUACCAUAAUCAUUCACCUUCAACAUUUGAUAUUGUGUUUAAAAUAUGACUUUACUUAAUUAUUUUCAACAAGCACUUUUCCGGAGUAUCCACCAGUCAGAAACACCAUUUCAAGUGCUCUGGAACCUUCUGCUUUUACAUAUUAAUAAUUCCCAAACAGAGUGUCUGCUUCAGACAUUAGUUUCUGAAAUAGAAUUGAGUCUUAAUUAGCUCAAGAGAAACUCCUACUUAAGUAGUCUUAGAGAAAAUGCACUCAUUUCCACCUCUAAUAUAUCCUCCUGUUGUUUGACUGUGAUGAGAAUGGUCUUUUAAAAGAGGCCUCAGGUGUGAAACCAACUGUUGAGGCUCAUUGUCAGCUGCUGGUUUCUAGAGUAUUAAUUCAAAAUUAGGGAAAAUAUAAGACUAUGUCUACAUUGGCCAACUAUCGCAAAACAACAAUUUUCAGUUAAGGGUGCAGCAUCCUCUACAAUGCCCUUGAGGAAGAUUCAGAAGCUCAUUCUAUUUCCAUCUGCUUCCAUCAUUAGAGAAUGCAGUUGAUUGAUUCAACCUCUCUAACAAUAAGAACGAAUGUUAUUUAACUAAAAGGCUGAAAUGACUUCAUUUGUAUCGGGUCUCGUUGUUGGAUGAAAAGUGCAAAAGAAGAAUGAGCAAAAGAACAGCUGCUGUCUCCUCCAAUCUUCCUAUCAAGAAAUGACACUGAGUACUCAUCUUACACAUCUUCUACAUCACUCAUUUAACACCAGAUAUAGUACAUUAUGAUCAACAUUUUUAUUAAUAUCAUCAUUGGAGGUCUUGAGUGUAUAUAGCUUAUUUCAUCAAAAUAUGGAAUGUUGCUUGUGGGUAAAACGUAUAUAUAUUUUAAAUCCCUGUUGGGUCUGUUGGAGUGCUAUAUACAAAGUAGGCACUCAGAAAAUAUUUGUUGUAGGAUAGAUUAAUUAAAUGCUUAAGGCAAGACUGCUAAUUGUCCCCUAGUAUUUAUUCACCCCUUCCUAUAGGAAUAGAAGCUCCAUCUCCACCCUCUGGUGUUAGGACACAUGGCUGUCUAGCUAGGGACUGCAUUUCUCAGCAUCACUAGCAGCUAGAUAAUCUGGCCUGUGUCCAGUUAUUUCUUAUGACACUGCUGUCCUCUGCUUCUUUCACCUUUUCAGGUGUAGUGAUCAUCCAGCGUCAUGCACAGUAGAUGAGAAACUCCUAGGGGAUGGUAGACAGACAAGGUAGAAGGAAUUUAGAUGGAGCAAAAUUAUUUAUGUGUUUGAACCUCCCACCUAUUCCUGCACUGCUAAAUGUGAGAAAACAGAGUUCCAUUUUAUUUGAGUGAGAUUGCAUUCUGUGAUAUCUUUGUUACUGCUGCUGGGCUAGCACUAUAACUGACAUAACAUGCAUAAUGCUCUAUUCCUUUUUUUUUUUUUUUUUUUUUUGGAGACAGAGCCUCACUCUGUUGCCCAGGCUGGAGUGCAGUGGCACAAUCUUGGCUCUCACUGCAACCUCUGUCUCCAGGGGUCAAGCGAUUCUCCUGCCUCAGCCUCCCAAGUAGCUGCGACUACAGGCAUGUGCCACCAUGUCCAGCUAAUUUUUUUUGUAUUUUUAGUAGAGACAAGGUUUCACCAUGUUGACUAGACUGGUCUCAAACUCCUGACUUCAGAUGAUCUGCCUGCCUUGGCCUCCCAAGGUGUUGGGAUUACAGGCAUGAGCCACCAUGCCCGGCCAUAAUGCUCUAUCCUAUAGAUGCCAUUCUAGAAUUCCACAGAUCCACUGGUUGUCUUCUACUAUGAUUGUGAUAAUCUGAGAAGCAGUCAGGUCUGACUUAAAGGCAUUUGUGGCUAUUGAAGAUGAGAGAACCCAUCUGUUAAGGAUGCCUGCUCUCAAGCUAAGUAUCGGCAAAAUUCACUAAGGCUGUGGUCUUCACUGUAAGAGAAGCCACUGUAAAAUGAAGUCAGAAUUGCACAGAUUAUCAGAGUGAGCUGCCUUUUGUUGCCUAUGUAAUUUGUAAUUAUCUCAAAUAAAAAUCUAACAGCAAUUUUUUAAGGUUUUGCAAAGAACUAAAAAUGAAGUGCAACUUAGCCUUGAAUAAUCAAAGCAUUUUUUUCUAAAUACCUCUAUGCCUUAACACACGCACAAAAAUGUAAGUAAAUUGAGGAAAGAGAUUGUUUCAUAUUUCUGUUUGCACAGAAAUCAUGUUUAUAUAUACGGCAAAAGAGUGAACUCAUCCUAAGUAUUCACUGAGGGUUGUUGAAUUGAUUGUUCAGAAUAUAGAAGCUCAAAAAUAUUGUACAUAUUCUAGUGUCUAUGACUAAUAAUUGGAAUAAGUUUCACAAUAGUUUACUUAUCUAAGUAUUAUUUUCUCCACAUUGGUAAUUGCUAUACUGUUGGUAGUACAAAAAUAAAUAUUUGGGGAACUUUCUACAUAAAAAAAAAUCCAGUCAUUGCUAGAGUUAUUUGAGCUAAUAGCUAUGUUUCAGUUGGGAUUUCCAGAAUAUCUGCUGAAUACUUUAUCCUGCAAUUUAGAUCAAGAAAGCAGGGUUUAUUUUUGAUCAGGGUUUAUAUAUUUACAGAAAACAAAAGAAAAAUCUCUAGAUUCCAAUUAGGUUGAGUUUGCUUUUUUGAACAAUAAAUUCAGAUGUCAUAAUAAUGAAAUAUUUCUCCACCACACUGAGCCUUUGAAGAACAGCUUUCUUAUGGGUAAGUUGAUCAGUUUGGUCUGGAUAAACAGGAGCUACCCACACAGAAAUCACUGGUUUCGGGAAGAAGGCUUUCUGUAAUUUGUGUUGUGUUGAUCCCCAUCAUAACAGGAGAGUAAUCAUGGAUGAGUAACUUUUAUGUCUUGUACCAGUAUAGAUAUGAUGAAGAAUUUCUAAGUACCUAAUCUAUUGCCCAAUUUUGAAGAGCUAAUUGAAUCAUUAUACAUUUAAUAUAGCCUUUUGAACAUUUUUAGCAAUUGCUUCCAGAAAAACAUGACUUGUGACAUUUUAAAAAAUUACCUUAAAAAUAAUAUGAAAAAAUCAAUAAUAAACUCAAAUAAAAAAUAAGUUACUUAAGAGUUAACUAUUUUUCCAAAUUAAAUUGCACAUUAAGUUCUAUAGUUUUUGAGAUCAUUUAAAACAAAAUUUCCACCAACCUCCCUUUAUUUGAGGGUAUUUUAAAACUAAAAACAAUUAAGUUUUUGAGAUCGAUUUAAUUUUUACUUCUUUUAAGUACCAGCAUAAACAUCUGCCAUCUGGCAUAGAAAUUACUUCAUAUGGCGGGAGGAGAGAUGAGAUUUAUUUAAAAGUUCUUUGUCUUUGAUACUUUUCCCUGCUGCAUUUUCCACUAGUGUAAUUUGAACCUGACUGUAUUUAAAUAACCAUUUAUCGCCGUAAUGGAAGAGCGGACUUAAAAAUACAUAACUGCUGUCAUUCCAGGAGACUGUAUUAAGGAAACAUAGAAUUUGCCAUUCUAGAUCAGACCAUUUGUCUGUCUUGUCUCACACUUGCCUCCGGCAGUGGCCAACAUUGAAGACAAUGGAGAACCGCAAAAAUAUGCAACGUGGGCACAACCCAUUUUGCGGGGAAUAAUUAUUUUCUCUGUUGGUAUUCUUACACUAUGGUAUAUUAGAAUUGAAUCACCCCCACCUGUUUAUAUUAUUAAUAAUUUUAUCAAUCAAUACACUAACCAGUUCUGCUAAAAUUAUUUUACUGAAUUAUGCUUAAUGAUCUAUGGUAUUUCUAUAGAGGAAAUACUCUUAUGGGACUAACACUCAGGUUUUUAAUGCCUUGAUUUUUAAAUAUGAGAAAGAUAUGGGGAAAUUUAGGCUGUAUAGCACAACAAAACAAACUGAAACCCUUUAAUUCUUGCUUGUACUUCAAAGCCCAGAAAAAAACAUAUUUACUACAAAAGUUCAGCUUGCAGGUCCAGAAGACAAUCUAACAUGAUCUAGCUUUAUACUAAAUUUACUAUUGAUAGUAGAAGAAAAAUUCUAUGCUGGGUGAUUAAUAGGUUGGCCAGAAUGUAGGCCUACAAAUUUUUAUCUUCCUUGACAUCUCACCAAUGUUGUGGAAAAAAUAUUACAGCAACAAAUUCAUUUCAUGAUCUGUCUCUGAAGUUAUAGGUGGGUACUAUGAGCAGAAUACUUACCAAGUGUAGAGCUCACAUACACACACAUACACACACACACACACACACAGACACCAAUGUAUGCACACAUUGUCCGCUCCACAUACUCACACAUUUCCCCAGUGCUCCAGGCAUUUUGAACUGUUUGGUGCCCCCUGUUCAUUAUUUGCCUUCACUUUGUCCUCUGCUAGUUCCUUCCUUACCUGUCCCUAGGCAAAUAUAAACUGUCCUCCAUGAUCACAUAAAUUAUACCCAUUCUUCUAUAAGACUACUAUUAUAAUCUCUCAAGGAAUUAUAAGUGCAUAAAAUUUGUGUAAUCUUUCAGCCAACUUCUUACCUGCCCCAUAAAAAGUACUUAUAAAACAACUUUUUUCUUGUCUCCUUCACAACCAGAAAAAAAACAAAUCUUUGUAAAUUACUGUCAAAUUACAAGUACCACUACUGGUGUGAUCAUUUUUUGGGAUAAUAUGUUUGUAAACAUAUUUACUACAAAAAUCAAGAGUUUUAAAUUGGGUAAACGCCUGCCCACCUGGUUACUCAGUUGAGUAGGGCCUUCCUUCUGUUUUUUUUUUUUUUUUUAAAGUCCUCUGUUGGUGUGACUAUUAACGCCAAAUCACUUUGAAAGUUCAGCAAAAUGUUUUCAGUUUUGAGCUGAAAAAUGGUAUUAGUGGCUGGAGAUGGUAUCACAUGACAUUUCCAGCCUCCAGAAUGAUAAUAUGUUGUCUGCUGACUUAAUAAACUCUCUUUCUACAAUUGUUAGUAUCUUCGGAGAUAUCUUUUCAGUAUUUGUUUUUAUGUAUAUUGAGCAAUAAUACAAUCAUACAUGGUCAUGGAUGACUAAAAAUAUUCAAAUUGGGAUACUUAGGUAGUGAAUGAGUUUUAAAAGUGCUCUUAAAUAGGUAAGCAGUUGAAAAUGAUUUAUUUCAAUUGGCGUUGUACUGAACUGGCAGCAAAAGGAGAGGCAGGGAAAAAAAUCCUCAUCCCUUCCUAAAAUAAGAGAAAGAAUUUUAACUUUGAGCCAAGCUCUAAAGGCAUCUGGAAAUCCUUGCAUCGGUUUCUUAGCUUCUUGCAUUUUGUAGGCUAGCCUUUCCAUGAAGGCAAAAAGAACUUUCUCAGAAUAAACACUUCUUCCAGCUAAGAUCAAUCCCUACCUUUUAGAUGUAGCAUACCUAUCAAAAAUAAAGCUUGGCAAGAUUUUAUCCAUAAUGCGACUUGAUAACUUUUAAAUCUGUUGGCCAGAAUCUUCACUUUAGCAUGAGACAGGUUAAGAUAUCCCUCUAUCUCCAUAGUUCUCAAUGGAAGCAAUUUUUGGCUCCACAUUCCCCCCAUCCCCAGGAUAUUUGGCAAAGUCUGGAGACAUUUCUAUUGUCAACACUGUGGGGUUGGUACAGGCAUAUAGGAGUUAGUGGCCUGAGAUGCUGUUAAACAUCCUACAACGCACAGGACCAAUGCACCAAUGAAGAAUUGUCUUGCCCACAUAUCAAUAGGGCUGAGAUUAAGUAAUUCAGCUCUAAAUGAAGAGUAUUAGAAACACAAACACAGAGAGUGUUGAAAUAUCUCACCACCCACUCUGGAAUGAGAAUUAUACAUGGUUUACUAUGAAUUAAAUUAAGCAUAACCAUAUACAACUGUCAAAGAAAUACACUAGGCUUCUAAUAGCCAUUUUUUUGUUGUUUUUUAGUUCACCUCUGUAAGGAACUAGAAAUAAUCUUUCUAUUUAUUUUUGGUUGGUUUCUUAAUUUUCUAGUGAUGCUGGUAUUCCUCUGUCUCCCACACCAUUCUUGACUGUGCUGUUUGUGUUUUGAAUGGUCAUUUCCUUGUAUAAUGACUUGCAAUGCUAUUUGCAAAUCAGUCUCAUCACUGGCCGUGUGCGACAGCUCACACCUGUAAUCCCAGCUACUUGGGAGGCUGAGGCGGGAGGAUGACUUGGGCCUGGGAGGUUGAAGUUGCAGUGAGCCAUGACUGUACCACUGCACUCCAGACUGGGUGACAGAGCAAGACUCUGUCUCAAAAUAAACAAAUAAAUAAAAAUUUAAAAAAGUCUAAUCACUGAGAAUGGAAAGGCCUCAAGUUAAUUUUAAGUAGCACUCUUUGUCAUCUUAUUUCUAUAGGGAAUUUGCUUGUGUCCCUAUAGAAGUUAUGUGUCUAACCAGGGUAUUCUAUGCUAUACUGGAACGGAGUGAACAAUUUGUUCUGCAACAUUUGAGUUUCAGUUGGAACAGCUCCCAUUACUGACUGUGAAUGUAGACAUGAUGACAUUCCUUGUGUAAUACCAGUAAGCAUCCACUUAUCCUUCUCACUGUACUUGUUGUAGCUGCUUAACAUUGUGUUUUGUUUUGUAUUCCUAUUUAAACAUUCCAUACCCAAUAGCAAGAAGGCAAAAAUGUCACGAAAUUGACAGAACAUGUAAAAGUGUGUUUGCAGCUUCAGAUGAAGAAUUACAAGGAAAAAUUUUAAUUUUACAUUUCAUCAGGGAAAAAUUCUGAUACUUCUAAAAAACAUUGUCAAUUCUGAUACUUCUAAAAAAUUAGAGCAACAUAUUAGAAAACCUUUGUGCUUAUUGGAUUUCAUUCAAUUUUGCCAAGACUCUUGGAUAUCAAUACCAAAGCAGACUUUCAAAAUUACUCUACCCCAAAGCUGAACACAUAUCUCCAAGGUAUUCUCAAAUGAUGGGCAUUGUCUUAGGCCAGGUGGCUGGGCUGAUUUUCCACUGCCUUGCUCUACUCCCCACUGAACACACAAAUUCAUAUAACCUUUUUGAUCCCCUUUCUCCCUCUGUCCUUCCCCUACUGCCACUUUUAUGUCUUGACCAUUCCAGAAGAAAUGACAAAUGGUUAUCUUGAGGUCAUUUUUGAACGAGAGCAAUAACAGUAAUAUUGAUAAUAAAAUCCAAAUUCAGAGAAGACCUGCGUUUGAUUCAGAAGCUAGUGUGUUUGUGCAUGGUGUUAAAGGUGUACUAAGUAGGUAUUAAUCUUAUUUUCUCCAUUCAUUUUACAUGAAAGCUGUCAUUAUUGGGAUAAGAAUAAAAUGAACAUAAGUAUGAUAAAUGAUAAGUGCACAUGGGAGUCAAUAUACCACUCAGAGAGAGCACUGCUAAUCAACCGGUGCAGUAGGCUAAUGCACCAUGUGAACAGGCAUCUCAGGGAGAGUCUAAAUUUGUAACUCAGGGAAGCUUGGCAUUUAGCUCGAGCUGCUUUUGGCUUAAGGGGAAACAAAGGGUACAAUCAUGUGUGGAUUACAGCAGCAAAUCAUGUUUCAGAAGGUGCCUUUGCAAGACCAUGUAAAACAGAACCAAUUCUAUAUCCCUAACAAGGCCCAGCAUAUACAUGAGUUGUUUAAUGAAUGUUAAAUAAUGUUAAUAAAAAUGGAUGAAAAAGUACUGUACUCUUUUUUUAAUGAACAGUGAAAAGAAAGAGUAAGAGAAUCAAUUAGUUCUCAGUUUGAAACCUCUGGCUUAUAUAUUAAAGCUGAUGAAUACAAUUUUAAAAAUGCAAGUGCUGGAGUCUCUAUGCUAUUGGGAAUCUGUCAUCUUUUAAAACAUACUUUUUAAACUUGAUUCUUAAUUAUUAAUAGAUUAAUGAUUCCCAUUGCUUUUGAUGAUCUCAAGAUCUCUUACAUAGUUUCUUUGUUAACGGCAAUACCAUUUCUGUUUCCCUUAUUCCAGUUAGCCAAGAAGCUAGGGAAGUAGCAGGUUUAUAGUUCUGUUAUUUCAACUAAAAUGCAUUUCUUAUACCCUUAAGAGAGGAGUGGAGUAGAUAGCAAUUCAGCUGCAUAGAAAUAUGGUUGGCUGGGCUCAUGUUGGUUAAGGAGACUGUUGGAAGUAGCAAUUCUGGAAUGAUUAGUGGCUCUUAGUGACAUCAGUCACCUUGGCUCUUACUUCAGGUAUUUUAGAAGUGUCCCUGUUGCACUCCCUUCCCAGGUGGCUGAUGAAUUAAUGAUUAUUUACUGAGCAUCUACUAUGUGCCUGAUUCAUUGUUAAGUACCUAGAGAGCCACAAAGAAAAUGAUACAGUGAAAUAGAAAACCCGUGCUUAACUAGCAAACACUACCUUCUGGCUGACAGUUCAGGAAAGAGUUAGCGUCUGAAAAGAAAAAAAAAAAAUACAUGAUCUUGACUAGAAAGAGGAAGUAGAUUAGCUUCCUCAGUUUCCAUUUUCCUACCUACCACCACAAGCCCCUACUCUCAUAUUCCUAGUCUAGACCCAGUGAGGACUUGGUAAUAGGUAAGCAACUGCUGAAGGACAAUAAAAAAAGUGGAAAGGAGAAUAACCAUAGGGAAUGCAGCCAAAGACUAAGAAAGGUGGAUGUAGUGAGAGUGCAGAUAAGACUCCUCACAUCUUUAACAUCAUAAGCUAGCUGACAUCAAACACUAAGCAGGAAAAAUAAGGAGACAGCAGUGGUUGUGAGGUAGUUGCCAGCUUUAUUUACCACCAACUAAAUCAACAUUGUGCUCUGUUAUUUAAACUUACAUUACUACAAGUAUAUAAUCAUAAUUCUUGGUGUAUAUGCUACUUAUUCCCAUGAAUAUUGAGCAAGAACAAUAUAUCAAUAUAGUAAUAUACUGCAACCUUCUCUCAGCAAGCAUUCAUCUUCACUGUCUACUAUUUCAGGCCCUUCGUAGGUGCUGGAUAAACAAAGAUGACCAAGACAUGUUCCCUGCCCUCAAAGAGGACAAAAUCUAGAAUUUUCUUUUAAAAUGUGCUGAUUUGGUUGCUACACCAGAGUCAUCGUCAUAGUUGGUUAAACAUAUUGGUUAAAUAUAAUCAUUUUGUUGGUAACCCAACAAAACUUGAACUGCUUUAGAUAAUAAUUUUUUGAUAAGGUCAGACUUGAAGGAAGGAUUUGAAUAGAUCACAGGGAUAAAGAGCAUUCCAGAUUGAUGGAAAUAUGUAACUAAAAAAGGAUCCAGUCUUUGAAAGAUAGCAUGGCACCCACCUGUACUGACAGGGGUCGAGGUAAUCGACUGAAAUAAGGUGAGAAAGAAGAGGAUUUCUGUAUUGCAGAUAGUGUAAAUAAAGUCCUUGGAAAGAGAUUUGGCCCUGAAGUCAGGAGAUCUGGGUUUAAUUUUAUAAUCUUGAGCCAAUCAGUCUUAAUCUAUCAUCUUUUAACUCUCCUAUUCAUAGAAAUGAGGAUGAGAAUAUAUAUUUGUCUAUACUGUAAUUCACAAUUUCACAGAAUGGUUUCUAGGCUGAAUAAGAACCUAAAGCAAAUUGCUUUGAGCUGUUGGAAGAAAGAUACUAUUCAAAUCCAAGGAAGUAUUUUAAGAUCUUAUAUUCACUCACUUUUAUAUGUGGUUUUGCUAAAAUAGAAAGAUUAGUUUGAAGUUCAUCCUGCUGUUUUGGUAAAAUCAGUAAAAAUGUCUUCCUGAUUUUUUUCUGAGUGUAAGAUAAAAUUUAUUGUCCUCAGCUAAGUAGAUUAUCAGCCAUUUUCUUUGAAUAGCCAUAUCUUAAAAGUAGAAUCUCUUUUAUUUAUAGAUAGCCUAAAAAAUGACAUGUGAACUUAUAAAAUUUCAUGUAAAAUGAAGCAUGUUAAAUGCAUGUGAUAGUUCUUACUCCUGAGUUUGUUAUUCCUUUCUAUGUAACACAAAUAGAAUCCUCCCUAACUUAAAUUUUAGUAGUUUCAAAACAGAUUAAUACAAAUGAGUUUCUUUCAAGCAUAUAUAGUUUAGGGUAUUUUUAAAAAUAAAAUUACUAUCUUACUUGUAUACUACUCAACUGUAUUUGAACAAUGAUAUUUGUAGAAUAGGUAGAUGGAAACUUCAUUUUCAUCCUACAAGUAACUAAUGCUCAGCUAUCAGUUGAGGUCAUACUGCCUCUUAAAUCUAAGGAAGAUUUACUUGAUUCCUUAUUUUAAGUCUUGAGAUUUCAGCUCCUUCUACAGUAGGUUAGAUCAUGCAUCAUUUUGCUAUUUUGUUCAUUCUGUCCCUGUUCUGUCAUAUUGUCUCAGAGGUGGAAGCCAUCCUGUUUACCUGCUUUUAACAGGUAAAUGUCUCACAAAGAACUUUUUAGUAUUAGCUGAGUUUAAUGAUAGUUUGGGGAAAUGGAAAGGGUUCACAGUGCAGCGUUGUAAAUGUCAAAAUUGCAUAUUAAACAUCUUGGUCCUUUAAAAAUAUCCAUCUGUAGGUAUUUUUGAAAAUCAGGCUUUAGCCUUUCUCUGUAUUAUUUAUUUAUUUGUUUUUGAGGUGGAAUCUUGCUCUGUGGCCAGGCUGGACUGCAGUGGCACGAUCUUGGCUCACUGCAACCUCUGCCUCUUAAGUUCAAGUAAUUCUUCUGCCUCAGCCUCUCGAGUAGCUGGGACUAUAGGCGCGUGCCACCACGCCCAGCUAAUUUUUGUAUUUUUAGCAGAGACGGGGUUUCACCAUGUUGGCCAAGAUGGUCUUGAUCUCUUGACCUCAUGAUCCGCCUGCCUCGGCUUCCCAAAGUGUUGGGAUUACAGGCGUGAGUCACCACGCCCGGCCCUUUCUCUGUGUUUUUAGAGCCUCCCUCUCCUCUCAUUCUCUUGAAAGCCAAACAUAAAAUGAAGUUAAAAUAAAUUCUUCUUAUUUUUGUAAUACAGAAAAUUUUGAAUCUCUCUCCAUUCUUCUUAACUCAUGACUUUGUAGUUAUACUUUGCACUGCCACUUUUCCAAACCUAUGUGAUUCUUUCACUGUGAAGUCUUGAUGUUACUAUAAUAUUUUUUAUGUUAUUUAAUAUUCUAUGUCAAAUAUAUCUUAGACUGAUUAAACCACAAAAUUACUAGAAGAAAAUUUUGGUGAAUUUUUUUUUAAUUUCAGAAAGUGGGAGGACAUUAUAUACAUAAAAUAGAUAAUAAAUUACAAUAUUAAAAAAUGUAUAGAUUGGACCACAUGACAUUUAUUUUGUCCUUACCCCUCAAAAAAACAAAAUAAUUAAACUUUUAAGGAUUUCAUCCUUGAGUCUCUUAAAUGUUUUUUUAGUUUAUUGACAUGAAAUUCACAUAACAUAAAGUCAUGUGAAAUUGAACAAUUCAAUGGCAUUUAGUACAUCCACAGUGUUGUACACUGCCUCUAUCUAGUUUCAAAACAUUUCCGUUGUUCCAAAAUAAAACAUAUCACUAAACAGUUUCUCCCCAUUGCCCCUUCCCCUAGACCCUGGCAAGCACCAACCUGCAUUGUGUCUUUAUGAAUUUACCCGUUCUGGGUAUUUCAUAUAAAUGAAAUCAUACAGUACGUGAUGUGUCUGGUUUCUCUCACUUAGCAUGUUUUUGAGGUUCAUCUACAGUAUAGUAUAGGAGUAUGUAUCUACUAUACAUAUUAAAGUAUGUUUCUGUGCUUCAUCCCUUUUUAUGCUUGAUAAUAUUCCAUUGUGUGUAUAUAUAUAUAUAACGUAUUUUUAAUAGACUGUAUCUUUUU
This 12811-nucleotide long non-coding RNA is filed under the name Homo sapiens (human). Its description in RNAcentral is "non-protein coding lnc-DERA-7:1". Lineage: Eukaryota; Metazoa; Chordata; Mammalia; Primates; Hominidae. The record is from RNAcentral.